AGUGAACGCUGGCGGCGUGCCUAAUACAUGCAAGUAGAACGCUGACUACUUUAGCUUGCUAGAGUAGAAGGAGUUGCGAACGGAUGAGUAACGCGUAGGUAACCUGCCUACUAGCGGGGGAUAACUAUUGGAAACGAUAGCUAAUACCGCAUAACAGUGUUUAACACAUGUUAGAUGCUUGAAAGAUGCAAUUGCAUCACUAGUAGAUGGACCUGCGUUGUAUUAGCGAGUUGGUGGGGUAACGGCCCACCAAGGCGACGAUACAUAGCCGACCCGAGAGGGUGAGCGGCCACACUGGGACUGAGACACGGCCCAGACUCCUACGGGAGGCAGCAGUAGGUAAUCUUCGGCAAUGGGGGCAACCCUGACCGAGCAACGCCGCGUGAGUGAAGAAGGUUUUCGGAUCGUAAAGCUCUGUUGUAAGAGAAGAACGUGUGUGAGAGUGGAAAGUUCACACAGUGACGGUAACUUACCAGAAAGGGACGGCUAACUACGUGCCAGCCGCCGCGGUAA
RNAcentral lists this ribosomal RNA (513 nucleotides) under uncultured bacterium. RNAcentral's name for it is "partial 16S ribosomal RNA". It matches the Rfam family "Bacterial small subunit ribosomal RNA", at positions 29 to 523 of the family's 1533-position model. The record is from RNAcentral.